AGCCAAUGAUGGUUUUAAGAGUAGUGGACAGAAGUGAUUUCUGAAAACUCCAUACUGAGGCU
RNAcentral lists this small nucleolar RNA (62 nucleotides) under Dryobates pubescens (Downy woodpecker). RNAcentral's name for it is "Picoides pubescens (downy woodpecker) Small nucleolar RNA SNORD75". It matches the Rfam family "Small nucleolar RNA SNORD75". Rfam says of the family: U75 (SNORD75) belongs to the C/D class of snoRNAs which contain the C (UGAUGA) and D (CUGA) box motifs. Most of the members of the box C/D family function in directing site-specific 2'-O-methylation of substrate RNAs. RNAcentral also lists the same sequence under 1 other name. Lineage: Eukaryota; Metazoa; Chordata; Aves; Piciformes; Picidae. The record is from Rfam by way of RNAcentral.